UACGGAGGUGGCAAGCGUUGCUCGGAAUCACUGGGCGUAAAGGGCGCGUAGGCGGGGAGGUAAGUCGGGGGUGAAAUCCCUCGGCCCAACCGAGGAACUGCGCCCGAGACUGCUUCUCUUGAGUCCCGGAGAGGAAGAUGGAAUUCCCGGUGUAGCGGUGAAAUGUGUAGAGAUCGGGAGGAACACCGGUGGCGAAGGCGGUCUUCUGGACGGUGACUGACGCUGAGACGCGAAAGCGUGGGGAGCGAACAGG
This 253-nucleotide ribosomal RNA is filed under the name uncultured bacterium. RNAcentral describes it as "partial 16S ribosomal RNA". It matches the Rfam family "Bacterial small subunit ribosomal RNA", at positions 524 to 776 of the family's 1533-position model. The record is from RNAcentral.